This 479-nucleotide ribosomal RNA is filed under the name uncultured bacterium. RNAcentral's name for it is "partial 16S ribosomal RNA". It matches the Rfam family "Bacterial small subunit ribosomal RNA", at positions 28 to 507 of the family's 1533-position model. The record is from RNAcentral.
GAUGAACGCUAGCGGGAGGCCUAACACAUGCAAGCCGAGCGGUAUUUGUUCUUCGGAACAGAGAGAGCGGCGCACGGGUGCGGAACACGUGUGCAACCUGCCUUUAUCUGGGGGAUAGCCUUUCGAAAGGAAGAUUAAUACCCCAUAAUAUAUUGAGUGGCAUCAUUUGAUAUUGAAAACUCCGGUGGAUAGAGAUGGGCACGCGCAAGAUUAGAUAGUUGGUGAGGUAACGGCUCACCAAGUCAAUGAUCUUUAGGGGGCCUGAGAGGGUGAUCCCCCACACUGGUACUGAGACACGGACCAGACUCCUACGGGAGGCAGCAGUGAGGAAUAUUGGACAAUGGGUUAGCGCCUGAUCCAGCCAUCCCGCGUGAAGGACGGCGGCCCUAUGGGUUGUAAACUUCUUUUGUAUAGGGAUAAACCUACUCUCGUGAGAGUAGCUGAAGGUACUAUACGAAUAAGCACCGGCUAACUCCGUG